This 2863-nucleotide long non-coding RNA is filed under the name Betula platyphylla (Asian white birch). The record is from RNAcentral. Lineage: Eukaryota; Viridiplantae; Streptophyta; Magnoliopsida; Fagales; Betulaceae.
UUCAAAAAAUUCGAGAGCAAGACGUACGGUAGAGUAAUCAGAUGGUGGAGUAUUUGAUUAUAUCUUGAGCGGUAACAACCUGCAUCGCCAGAUCUCAUAAGAUGGUUCUUCCUCUUUACUAUUUAGCAAUCCGAGCACCUAGCUAGAAACGAGGCCCAAUUAGACACUGUUCGGCUCUCGUCUCCUAAAUAUUGUUUCAAACAAAUGCUAGAUGAAAAAGAAGGUUUUUUUUAUGUUAAAAUCAUGUUAAGGAACCACUUUUACUUUCCUAGAUUUAACGAACAACUCUUGACACUGUUGGUGUUUUCUUAGUUUGGGAAACAACAAGGGAAUUCUCAAUUCAGAUUUUCGCUCCCAAAACCAGUUUUCCUUAUCAGAGUACUGUUUUUCUGUCACUCUCUGCUCUAAAACCUCCUAAAUAUUGUUUCAAACAAAUGCUAGAUGAAAAAGAAGGUUUUUUUUAUGUUAAAAUCAUUUUCUCAACUUUCAUCCAUUGAAUUGGGAGGCUUUUUUGUGCCUUUUUGUUAAAUUUUUUUUUAUAUAAGUAAAAGACUAAUCUCAUUAAAAGCGUAAGGCGUCCCUAAGUAUACAAUAAGUAUACAGAAUAAACAUCUAACUAGAAAGAGCAAAACAAACUAAGAAAUCACUAUAGUUAAGCAACAAAGGAGAAUCAAACGUGGCUGUCCAAAAACCAGCACUUUCUCAAAAAAUAAUAUAUCACUUACAGUUCAUCAGGUAUCCCAGUUCCAAAGAAAAAGUUGGAAUAAAACAGAAAUCCAAAACAAAAGAAUCAAGAACCCAUCAAAAGCACAAAACCCAUAGGCAAAAACACAGCACCGACCACUCAAAUCUGAGAAAAUCAAAUUUUAUAUAUAUAGAGAGAGAGAGAGAGAGAAUAAUUUGGUGAGUGAACAGUACUUACUAAGUACUCUUCACUCACCAAAGUGUUUUGGUUAGAAUAGUGAGUAUGCUAUAAAGUAUCGUAAAAUAAAAAUAAAAUUUCUUCCAACAACCUCUCAUUGUCUUCAAAGUUCCUAUCAUUCAUUUUUCCUCACAAAACACCAAAACAGGCAAGUAUGCACCAUUUUUCACACUACAACUUUCAUUCAUAAGAUGGUUCUUCCUCUUUACUAUUUAGCAAUGUUAAGGAACCACUUUUACUUUCCUAGAUUUAACGAACAACUCUUGACACUGUUGGUGUUUUCUUAGUUUGGGAAACAACAAGGGAAUCCGUUUCAUGGGUUUUUUAAGAGUUUUUCUUACAUUUAGGAAAAUGACUGGAUUUUAGGGAAGGGUAGUCAUUGCUAUUGCGGUUAAACUCUAAAAACUGUUCCCAUUCAAAAGCAACAACCUCUUCAAAAAAAUCAAAGAGAAAACAUCAAAGUCCACCGUUCCCAAUUACAGCACUAAAAACUGUUCCCAUUCCUCUAUUGCUAGUACCACAAAAACAGAAGCGCAAUAUCUAAUUCAAAAGCAACAACCUCUUCAAAAAAAUCAAAGAGAAAACAUCAAAGUCCCCACCGACGGAGACGCUCGACAGAGGCAUUCUUAGUGCGGGUAAUAUCGAAAGGGCCAGACGACUCCUCGUCGUCUUCGGAGGGUGGAGCUCUGUUGGAAUGGCUUCCACCGGCCUCCAAAUCCGUGUUGCGCUGGCCUUGAGGCGAUCUCUUGAAGUUGCUCAUUACUGUCGCAGGAGAGAUGGCACCGUCACACUCUAAUUACGUCUCUUCUCAAUACGCAUCAAAUCCACAAACAAAAUCCCUCUCACAAUCUCAAAAAAAAGAGAGAGAGAGAGAGAGAGAGAGAAUUUCAGGGUUGUAUAGUUUACCGGAGCUGAAAAACGGUGUAACCAAACACAAAACUCUUCACCUGCACAAUUUACCUUCCCUUCCUCUUCCUCGUCCCACUUAUUUUUUUGUCUUUUCUCCCCGAGAAACUUCUUCUAAUUACGUCUCUUCUCAAUACGCAUCAAAUCCACAAACAAAAUCCCUCUCACAAUCUCAAAAUUAGCACUUUCUCAACUUUCAUCCAUUGCUGGAAAGUUCCUAAUGUGAAUUCAAAAAAUUCGAGAGCAAGACGUACGGUAGAGUAAUCAGAUGGUGGAGUAUUUGAUUAUAUCUUGAGCGGUAACAACCUGCAUCGCCAGAUCUCAUAAGAUGGUUCUUCCUCUUUACUAUUUAGCAAUCCAGCACUACCGUUCCCAGUUACAAAAAAAUAAUAUAUCACUUACAGUUCAUCAGGUAUCCCAGUUCCAAAAAAAAGUUGGAAAAAAACAGAAACCCAAAACAAAAGAAUCAAGAACCCAUCAAAGCACAAAACCCAUAGGCAAAAACACAGCGCCGACCACUCAAAUCUCAGAAAAUCAAAUUAUAUAUAUAUAUAUAUAUAGAGGGAGAUAGAUAGAUAGAGAGAGAGAGAGAGAGAGAGAGAGCAUCGAAGACGUACCCUUUCUCAACUUUCAUUCAUAAGAUGGUUCUUCCUCUUUACUAUUUAGCAAUCCAUCCGUUUCAUGGGUUUUUUAAUGGCACCGUCACACAGUGCUCUAAAACCUCAAUUCAGAUUUUCGCUCCCAAAACCAGUUUUCCUUAUCAGAGUACUGUUUUUCUGUCACUCUCAAACACUCAUCUUUUUUAGUUUUUUCCCCCGUCAGAUUCACUCUAGCCCUAGAAAACUCUCAGUAACAAACACUCAUCUUUUUUAGUUUUUUCCCCCGUCAGAUUCACUCUAGCCCUAGAAAACUCUCAGUAACCUAGAAACGAGGCCCAAUUAGACACUGUUCGGCUCUCGUAAUAGGCCCAAACAAGCCUCGGGUUGGGUUCAUAUCCGGGUACCGUUUUGGAAGGAUUAAAUUUAAACAAUAAAU